UGGGGAAUCUUCCGCAAUGGACGAAAGUCUGACGGAGCAACGCCGCGUGAGUGAUGACGGCCUUCGGGUUGUAAAGCUCUGUUAAUCGGGACGAAAGGCCUUCUUGCGAAUAGUUGGAAGGAUUGACGGUACCGGAAUAGAAAGCCACGGCUAACUACGUGCCAGCAGCCGCGGUAAUACGUAGGUGGCAAGCGUUGUCCGGAAUUAUUGGGCGUAAAGCGCGCGCAGGCGGAUCAGUCAGUCUGUCUUAAAAGUUCGGGGCUUAACCCCGUGAGGGGAUGGAAACUGCUGAUCUAGAGUAUCGGAGAGGAAAGUGGAAUUCCUAGUGUAGCGGUGAAAUGCGUAGAUAUUAGGAAGAACACCAGUGGCGAAGGCGACUUUCUGGACGAACACUGACGCUGAGGCGCGAAAGCCAGGGGAGCGAACGGGAUUAGAUACCCUGGUA
Molecule: ribosomal RNA, 445 nt
Filed under: uncultured bacterium
Lineage: Bacteria
Description: bacterial SSU rRNA
Rfam family: Bacterial small subunit ribosomal RNA
Source: RNAcentral